Molecule: small nuclear RNA, 240 nt
Filed under: Spermophilus dauricus (Daurian ground squirrel)
Lineage: Eukaryota; Metazoa; Chordata; Mammalia; Rodentia; Sciuridae
Description: 7SK RNA (ENSSDAG00000006415.1)
Rfam family: 7SK RNA
About the family: 7SK was discovered as an abundant small nuclear RNA in the mid-70s but a possible function has only recently been suggested. Two independent studies have found that 7SK RNA binds the CDK9/cyclin T complex (known as elongation factor P-TEFb).
Source: Rfam by way of RNAcentral
GGAUGUGAGGCUGAUCUGGCUGCUAGGCGGGUGCCCCCUUCCUCCCUCACGCUCAUGUGCGUCCCUCCCGAGGCUGCGCACUCCGUCCAGGAGGAACGUUCUCCAAUAGAGGAGGACCAUUCUUCUGUCAAGGGUACGUGAGUAGCUGCGCUCCCGUUAGAGCCUCCAAACAAGCUCUCGAGACCCAGCCUCACCAGGGCCUUUCAUUUUCCAAAAGGAGGUCCAUUUUGCAUUCCUUUG